Molecule: small nuclear RNA, 103 nt
Organism: Suncus etruscus (white-toothed pygmy shrew)
Lineage: Eukaryota; Metazoa; Chordata; Mammalia; Eulipotyphla; Soricidae
Source: RefSeq, a predicted model, not a curated record
GUUCUUCGGCAGCACAUAUACUAAAAGUGGAACUAUACAGAGAUUAGCAUGGUCCCUGCGCAAGGAUGGCACGCAAAAUAAGGCCUUUGAAUGUAAAAGUUUU